This 225-nucleotide unclassified non-coding RNA is filed under the name Hevea brasiliensis (rubber tree). Lineage: Eukaryota; Viridiplantae; Streptophyta; Magnoliopsida; Malpighiales; Euphorbiaceae. The record is from RNAcentral.
GCGCAUUUAGGUAGAAGAGGAAGAGAGGCCUUGUAUGAAGAUGAAGAGCUACGUAUGAUAGCCAAGGAUGACUUGCCUAUCUCCUGCCAGGGAUGAAAAAUGCACAAGAAUGCGGCCUGCAUCUCUUCCAUGCUCAUAAGGCUCAUUGUCGUUUUGCUUGGCUGGAUAAGAUUGCGAUUGCGACAUGCACGGCAGAUCAACAAGCUAUGGAUUGCUCUUCGCUUU